UAGCUCAGUGGUAGAGCGCUUGCCUAGCAAGCGCAAGGCCCUGGGUUCGGUUCCCAG
Molecule: non-coding RNA, 57 nt
Organism: Rattus norvegicus (Norway rat)
Lineage: Eukaryota; Metazoa; Chordata; Mammalia; Rodentia; Muridae
Source: Rfam